RNAcentral lists this ribosomal RNA (429 nucleotides) under uncultured bacterium. RNAcentral's name for it is "partial 16S ribosomal RNA". It matches the Rfam family "Bacterial small subunit ribosomal RNA", at positions 355 to 800 of the family's 1533-position model. The record is from RNAcentral.
UGGGGAAUAUUGGACAAUGGGGGCAACCCUGAUCCAGCAAUGCCGCGUGUGUGAAGAAGGUCUUCGGAUUGUAAAGCACUUUCGACGGGGACGAUGAUGACGGUACCCGUAGAAGAAGCCCCGGCUAACUUCGUGCCAGCAGCCGCGGUAAUACGAAGGGGGCUAGCGUUGCUCGGAAUGACUGGGCGUAAAGGGCGUGUAGGCGGUUUACACAGUCAGAUGUGAAAUCCCCGGGUCUAACCUGGGAGCUGCAUUUGAUACGUGUAGACUAGAGUGUGAGAGAGGGUUUGUGGAAUUCCCAGUGUAGAGGUGAAAUUCGUAGAUAUUGGGAAGAACACCGGUGGCGAAGGCGGCAACCUGGCUCAUGACUGACGCUGAGGCGCGAAAGCGUGGGGAGCAAACAGGAUUAGAUACCCUGGUAGUCCACGC